RNAcentral lists this ribosomal RNA (1884 nucleotides) under marine metagenome. RNAcentral's name for it is "bacterial LSU rRNA". It matches the Rfam family "Bacterial large subunit ribosomal RNA", at positions 502 to 2487 of the family's 2925-position model. The record is from RNAcentral.
CGUGAGGGAAAGGUGAAAAGAACCCCUAUUAGGGGAGUGAAAUAGAACCUGAAACCGGAUGCCUACAAUCAGUCGGAGCUCUAUAUGAGUGACGACGUACCUUUUGUAUAAUGGGUCAGUGACUUUAUCUGUGCAGCAAGCUUAAGCCGAAAAGGUGUAGGCGUAGCGAAAGCGAGUCUGAAUAGGGCGAUGAGUUGUACGGAUAAGAACCCGAAACCUAGUGAUCUAGUUAUGAGCAGGUUGAAGGUAAGGUAACACUUACUGGAGGACCGAACCGGUGCCUGUUGAAAAAGGCUCGGAUGACUUGUGAUUAGGGGUGAAAGGCCAAUCAAACUGGGAGAUAGCUGGUUUUCCGCGAAAACUAUUUAGGUAGUGCGUUGAAUAAUAAGAUCUUGAGGGGUAGAGCACUAAAUAGGCUAGGGGGAAGAAAUUCUUACUAAACCUAAUAAAACUCCGAAUACUCAAGAUUGUUUCUCAAUAGACAGACGGUGGGAGCUAACUUCCAUCGUCGAGAGGGAAAAAACCCAGACCACCAUCUAAGGUCCCAAAAUCGUAGUUAAGUGUGAAAGGAUGUGAAGACUCCAAAACAGCCGGGAGGUUGGCUUAGAAGCAGCCAUCCUUUAAAGAAAGCGUAACAGCUCACCGGUCUAAUUAAGAGACUUUGCGCCGAAGAUGUAACGGGGCUCAAACUACGUACCGAAGUUGUGGAUUUAAAGUGUCUACGGACAUUUUAUCUGGUAGCGGAACGUUCUGUAAGUCUGCGAAGGGAUACCCGCGAGGGGUCCUGGAGAUAUCAGAAGUGCGAAUGCUGACAUAAGUAGCGACAAACAGAGUGAAAGACUCUGUCGCCGAAAAUACAAGGGUUCCUGCGUAAAGUUAAUCUUCGCAGGGUUAGUCGGCCCCUAAGGCGAGGGCGAAAGCCGUAGUCGAUGGGAACAAGGUAAAUAUUCCUUGACCUGAUGGUAGUGACGGAUCUCGUAUAUUGUAAGUUCUUAUUGGAUUGAACUUGCCUUGAAGAGGUCCCAGGAAAUAACUCCAUCAUUAAGACCGUACCCUAAACGGACACACGUGUAUUGGUAGAGAAUACCUAGGCGCUUGAGAGAAUGAUGUUGAAGGAACUCGGCAACUUGCCUCUGUAACUUCGGGAUAAAGAGGGCCUUAUUUUGCGCAAGCAGAGUAAGGUGGCACAAGCCAGGGAGUAGCGACUGUUUAACAAAAACACAGGACUCUGCUAACACGUAAGUGGAUGUAUAGGGUCUGACGCCUGCCCGGUGCCGGAAGGUUAAAGCAAGAUGUGCAAGCAUCGAACUGAAGCCCCGGUGAACGGCGGCCGUAACUAUAACGGUCCUAAGGUAGCGAAAUUCCUUGUCGGGUAAGUUCCGACCUGCAUGAAUGGCGUAACGACUGCUCCGGUGUCUCCAACAUCAACUCAGCGAAAUUGAAUUCUCCGUGAAGAUGCGGAGUUCCCGUGGUUAGACGGAAAGACCCCGUGCACCUUUACUACAACUUUACAUUGGUAUUAGAAAUGACAUGUGUAGCAUAGGAGGGAGACUUUGAAGUGGUGGCGCUAGCUAUCAUGGAGUCGUCAGUGAAAUACCUCUCUUGUUAUUUUUGAUAUCUAACUCCAUGCCGUCAUCCGGCUGGAAGACACUGUAUGGUGGGUAGUUUGACUGGGGCGGUCGCCUCCUAAAGAGUAACGGAGGCGUGCGAAGGUAGGCUCAGAUCGGUCAGAAAUCGAUCGUUGAGUGCAAUGGCAUAAGCCUGCCUGACUGCAAGACUGACAAGUCAAGCAGAGUCGAAAGACGGUCAUAGUGAUCCGGUGGUUCUGAGUGGAAGGGCCAUCGCUCAACGGAUAAAAGGUACGCCGGGGAUAACAGGCUGAUA